GGGGAGCCCUAAGACAGGUGCUGCAUGGCUGUCGUCAGCUCGUGCCGUGAGGUGUCGGGUUAAGUCCCGCAACGAGCGCAACCCCUAUCUUCAGUUGCCAGCAGGUAAGGCUGGGCACUCUGGAGAGACCGCCCCGGUCAACGGGGAGGAAGGUGGGGACGACGUCAAGUCAUCAUGGCCCUUACGCCUGGGGCUACACACGUACUACAAUGGCGCGCACAAAGGGUAGCGAGACCGCGAGGUGGAGCCAAUCCCAAAAAACGCGUCCCAGUCCGGAUUGGAGUCUGCAACUCGACUCCAUGAAGUCGGAAUCGCUAGUAAUUCGAGAUCAGCAUGCUCGGGUGAAUGCGUUCCCGGGCCUUGUACACACCGCCCGUCACACCACGAAAGUCGGUUUUACCCGAAGCCGGUGAGCUAACUCGCAAGAGAAGCAGCCGUCUACGGUAGGGCCGAUGAUUGGGGUGAAGUCGUAACAAGGUAACGA
This 484-nucleotide ribosomal RNA is filed under the name uncultured bacterium. RNAcentral describes it as "bacterial SSU rRNA". It matches the Rfam family "Bacterial small subunit ribosomal RNA", at positions 1021 to 1502 of the family's 1533-position model. The record is from RNAcentral.